This 76-nucleotide transfer RNA is filed under the name Gemmatimonadota bacterium. Its description in RNAcentral is "Gemmatimonadetes bacterium tRNA-Phe". It matches the Rfam family "tRNA". Rfam says of the family: Transfer RNA (tRNA) molecules are approximately 80 nucleotides in length. Their secondary structure includes four short double-helical elements and three loops (D, anti-codon, and T loops). The record is from RNAcentral. Lineage: Bacteria; Pseudomonadati; Gemmatimonadota. RNAcentral also lists the same sequence under 2 other names.
GGCUCUUUAGCUCAGUUGGUAGAGCAGGGGACUGAAAAUCCCUGUGUCCCCAGUUCAAUUCUGGGAGGAGCCACCA